RNAcentral lists this ribosomal RNA (430 nucleotides) under uncultured bacterium. Its description in RNAcentral is "bacterial SSU rRNA". It matches the Rfam family "Bacterial small subunit ribosomal RNA", at positions 355 to 776 of the family's 1533-position model. The record is from RNAcentral.
UAGGGAAUUUUGCGCAAUGGGGGAAACCCUGACGCAGCGACGCCGCGUGAGUGAUGAAGGCCUUCGGGUUGUAAAGCUCUGUCGAGAGGGAUGAAUGUAUCGAGGUCUAAUAGGCCUUGGUAGUGACGGUACCUCUGGAGGAAGCACCGGCUAACUCUGUGCCAGCAGCCGCGGUAAUACAGAGGGUGCAAGCGUUAUUCGGAAUUACUGGGCGUAAAGCGCAUGUAGGCGGGUUAUCAAGUCAGGUGUGAAAUCCCGGAGCUCAACUCCGGAAUUGCAUUUGAAACUGGUAGUCUUGAGUACGGUAGAGGGUAGUGGAAUUCCUGGUGUAGAAGUGAAAUUCGUAGAUAUCAGGAGGAACACCUGAGGCGAAGGCGGCUACCUGGACCGGGACUGACGCUGAGAUGCGAUAGCGUGGGGAGCAAACAGG